This 472-nucleotide ribosomal RNA is filed under the name uncultured bacterium. Its description in RNAcentral is "bacterial SSU rRNA". It matches the Rfam family "Bacterial small subunit ribosomal RNA", at positions 28 to 470 of the family's 1533-position model. The record is from RNAcentral.
GAUGAACGCUGGCGGCAUGCCUAAGACAUGCAAGUCGAACGAGAAGACCUUUGGAAGACUGAGUGCUUGCACAAAGUUAGAAGAAGAUCAUCUUCUAGUGGCAGACGGGUGAGUAACACGUGGGUAACCUACCUUCAAGCUGGGGAUAACAGUUGGAAACGACUGCUAAUACCGAAUAAGAUAUAUAGCAAUAUAUAUUGAAAGAAGCCUUUAAAGCUUCACUUAAAGAUGGGCUUGCGUUGUAUUAGCUAGUUGGUGGGGUAAUGGCCUACCAAGGCAACGAUGCAUAUCCGAACUGAGAGGUUGAUCGGACACAUUGGGACUGAGACACGGCCCAAACUCCUACGGGAGACAGCCAGUUAGGAAUAUUCGUCAAUGGGGGAAACCCUGACGAGCAAUGCCGCGUGAACGAUGAAGGCCCUCUGGGUUGUAAAGUUCUGUUACUUGGGAAGAAGUAUCUAAGAUAAGAAAU